AGUGAACGCUGGCGGUAGGCCUAACACAUGCAAGUCGAACGGCAGCACAGUAAGAGCUUGCUCUUACGGGUGGCGAGUGGCGGACGGGUGAGGAAUACAUCGGAAUCUACUUUUUCGUGGGGGAUAACGUAGGGAAACUUACGCUAAUACCGCAUACGACCUAUGGGUGAAAGCAGGGGAUCUUCGGACCUUGCGCGAUUGAAUGAGCCGAUGUCGGAUUAGCUAGUUGGCGGGGUAAAGGCCCACCAAGGCGACGAUCCGUAGCUGGUCUGAGAGGAUGAUUAGCCACACUGGAACUGAGACACGGUCCAGACUCCUACGGGAGGCAGCAGUGGGGAAUAUUGGACAAUGGGCGCAAGCCUGAUCCAGCCAUACCGCGUGGGUGAAGAAGGCCUUCGGGUUGUAAAGCCCUUUUGUUGGGAAAGAAAAGCAGCAGGUUAAUACCCCGCUGUUCUGACGGUACCCAAAGAAUAAGCACCGGCUAACUUCGUG
RNAcentral lists this ribosomal RNA (492 nucleotides) under uncultured bacterium. Its description in RNAcentral is "partial 16S ribosomal RNA". It matches the Rfam family "Bacterial small subunit ribosomal RNA", at positions 29 to 507 of the family's 1533-position model. The record is from RNAcentral.